CUUUGCCUUCACCUUUUUUUUCAAAUAUACACUAUGUUUUGAGGGAGAUCUUGCCAAACCUGUUAAAGUCAGAAGUUUAAGAAGUUAAAGUUUAGAAAUGGCAGUGGAGGGAAGUACUGACCUGAAGCAGGCUCUAAGGUUCUAAGCAGCACACAGCCCUGAUGGCUGCACCGUUCAUAAACCAAUUCUGCCUUUGUUAACGGGUGUCAGACAUGAAACAGAAGGGAAAAAGCACAUUCCCUUUGCUGUUCUGCACAUGCAAGUAAGUCAAGAGAGAAAAUAUACAAGUUUAUUGGUAGAGUGUAUUGAGGUCUCUCCAAGCUGACUGGGCAUCUCACAAGUUGCAAUGAAGGACUGUGACAGCUUCUCACUGUUCCUCAUGAGAUAUACGGAGUCCCUUCUGCAAGUGCAAGCCUAAUCCCUUUAAUGUGGCUUGGCGUAAAACGGGCCAGAUUGUCUGAUGCAAUGUGGUCGCCCUAUCUGGUGCACCACAUGCCUUCCUUGCAGAGCUGGUCCACAACCAAGCCCAGAAGGACUAUCUGGUGAUCCUGGGCCUUCGCAGCGCUGUGGGUUCCCCAACACUUUCCAAAACAAAGAGGGCAUGGGGACAGGGUCUGAAGGACUAUGUGAGAUGGGAACUGAGAGAACCACAGACAAGUUGUGAGGAGCAAUCAUACCCAUUGACCUUGAAGAGGGAAUUUCUGACCAGCACCACAAACUAUAAGUUCCUGUAAGUUUAUAUACUUACAGCCUAAGCAAUAAAGCUGUUUUUCAGUAAAUACUUCUAUCACCAGCUGACAAAAAAUAAAUAAAAUAAAUUACUGGGUUAUUCAGAGUUUGGGAAAUGUAAAAUUAUUGGUGUACCCAUUUCUGAACCAUUCCCUCUGUGCUUCAGGCAACGUCAGAGAUCUGGACUAUAACAUUUAAGGUCAACCUCUUUUUUUCCCAGCACAAUGUUUAUUAUGGCACGCAUGAAUUGAUUUAUAACAAAUUCAUGGAUCUUAAAAGGGAACGGUUUAUCUCUAUUGAAAGAUUAUGACUGUCUCUGAUCUGUGUUUCCUUAGUCCUAAUGCCUUUAGUUUGGCACUAGGAGCAAUGCUUCUGAAGAUUGUUUUCCUUGCCAUCUUCGUAACUUUUCUAAGUACGAUUAUUUGUUUCUUCUUCCCUUCAUAUGAACUUGGCAGCUUUUUUCUUUCAGUGAAUGCAGUCAGACUGCUAGCUCUAAGAAGUGGUGCAUGCAGGUGAUGCUGCAAUCGCAGAUUUGUGUGGUUUAUGUUUUGUAGCUUUGGUUAGCUCUUUAACAAAUCUGUCUUCAUCAAUGUAUAUGUUUUAUGAACUUUAAGACUUAUUUUGCCUUCCUGCCCUCCAAAAACUGGAAAAAGGCCCUUGCUGAUCAGAAUGCAGAACUCUGCUGCAUUCUCUUCCUUUCAACUGGAGGUAGGUCUGGAACUGGAUAACUCAGAGGUACAGGACACGUUUUACAUCUUUUCAGUUUCUUGUCACUGUAGCUGUGUUGGUCUGAUUUCCUGGGGCAUAAUUCCUGCCCACGUUCUCCAUACUGACAAAAGCACCAACACCUUCAUAGUAUUUUCAUUCUCUGCUUAGGGUGUUGUUAUGGUUUUGUCCUCAAGACUUCCUGCCUUCUUUUCAGCCAGGAUGGAGCUCAGCUAUAAACAAUCAAGCUUCUCAGUGUCCUAGUUGCUGAUGACAGUAUAUCAAGCAAAAAGUCAUCUCUAUAGUCUCACACCCUCAUAUUAUUGUGUUCCUUUGAAAUUCCUGGCAACAUGCACAGUCCAUCCUAAGUUACAUCCUGGUAUUCAGUAGUCUCAGGACCUACAUAACUGCUGUUGAAUAAGAUGCUUAAGUUUUCUGUUUCAAACAUGCAGAUAAAAUGCUUGCAAAUUAAACAUUGUUCUAAAAUAAAAACUUUUCUAGCUGCUGUUUGGCACAACAUGUUAACACCAGCUAGCAUCACGUAUUGAAUUACUGAGAUACGUGGCAAGCAGCGGAUGGAUUCUCCAUCUGCUACCUUCUUUCUCUAACAUGGCUUUUUAAUUAGAACAAUAAUGAGCAGAAUGAAUGAAUGUCAGUUAUUACAGAUGGGAAACAAGAUGAAGAUGCCAUUUGGGUAAGAGACAUGUUAGAAUUUUUCAUUGAGACCUGAAAGCCUAGGAUUUUUCUUCUAAAUUGCUUUCUGAGAAGUUAUUGUUCAUAUAAGAGAGAGAACAAUAAUCCUGUACUGCACUGGGAAAAUGCUUUUCACACUGCAUAGGCUGUUUUAUGUGCUUUUUAAUUCUGGCCUUUGAAAGGUUUCCUUCUCUGCUUCGUGCACGCACACAAACCAACUAAAACUGCAAAAAUCAAUGGUUAAACCAGAAAUCCAGAAAGCUAAAGUAGAAAGAAAUGCCAAAAUUCAAGUGAUAUUUUCCUUGUUUUGUCAUAGUUAGAGUAUUUAUUACUUUCAGUGUAAUAAAUAAAUAAGUAGUAAUUCAUGAUGAUGCUAAGCAACACUUAAAAUGUUAAAGCGUGUUCCUGACCUUCAGUCCUGACCUGGGAACUUAAAGAGUUCAAGGAGCUAGGGAGGGGAGAGAAAGAAGGCAUUCCACAGGAAUUAUUUCAAAGGAACUUUACCAAAUGUCUGGAUCUUGGAAUACAAUUAAUUGACAAGAGUCAUGUAAUAAAAUUAUUGCUUGAAAAAAAAAUAAAAUAAAAUAAUAAUAAUAAUA
This is a long non-coding RNA of Oxyura jamaicensis (ruddy duck), 2726 nucleotides long. RefSeq lists it as uncharacterized. NCBI's taxonomy places the organism in Eukaryota, Metazoa, Chordata, Aves, Anseriformes, Anatidae. The transcript has 2 exons. The record is from RefSeq and is a predicted model, not a curated record.